CCCUGUGGCUGCACCAGGAUGGAGAAGAGCCGGACUGCAGUCCCGCUGCUGUGCAGACAGGCAAGAAGGUGACAGAAACCAACUAUUUUCAACCUGAAGGAGACGGCAGUGAUGAUCUCAUCGAAGAUGACUGGUUUACCAAGGAGGAAACUGAAGCAGGAAAGGGUAGAGGGCAGCACUGACUCAAUCUGACCAUGAGAAAUACAUCAGACUAACCUAGAUUGGAGGAUGUUCUUCAAGGUACCUGGCCAGUGUCCUCCAGGCUGUAAGGACAUGAAAAGUGAGGGAAGGCUGAGAAACUAUGACAGAUCAGAGGAGACUGGGGAGACAGGAACACUAAAUGCAACAUGGCACCCUGGAUUGGAUCCUGGAACAGAAAGAGGUUAUUGGUGAGAAAACGGGUGACACUGAAAGCAGGGGAGGGGGGAAGGGAGGAUGGGUCACAAAUCUGAGCGUGGGAGGUCUGCGAUGUUUAUUCCUUUCCUUGGUUAGUUCCGUGUAACUGUCACCAAUAACUCUCUCUCACUUCUUCCUGGAAGGGAGUAAAGGUGCGAAGUCAGACUUCACAGGGAAGUUAGGGAUUCCCGCACCCAGUCCCUAAUCCAGCCCUGAUUUCAGGUGGGACACAUACCUGGAGACCCCGAGAGCCUAGUGCCAGGCAAAGACUUGCAGGGGCACUUCCAAACCCUCUAACACUGUCUA
Camelus dromedarius (Arabian camel) is the source of this 702-nucleotide long non-coding RNA. RefSeq lists it as uncharacterized. The record is from RefSeq and is a predicted model, not a curated record. NCBI's taxonomy places the organism in Eukaryota, Metazoa, Chordata, Mammalia, Artiodactyla, Camelidae. The transcript has 3 exons.